This 26-nucleotide non-coding RNA is filed under the name Rattus norvegicus (Norway rat). Lineage: Eukaryota; Metazoa; Chordata; Mammalia; Rodentia; Muridae. The record is from RNAcentral.
UGGAGUCACAAUGCCUACACUGGAAC